Long non-coding RNA from Vicia villosa (hairy vetch), 1092 nucleotides. RefSeq lists it as uncharacterized. The transcript has 2 exons. The record is from RefSeq and is a predicted model, not a curated record. Lineage: Eukaryota; Viridiplantae; Streptophyta; Magnoliopsida; Fabales; Fabaceae.
UAUAUAUAUCAUAAGUAUAAAAUUAAUUUCAUUUUAUGACUUUUAAAGUUAACAAUAAAAUGUUCUCUGAAGCUGAUCUAGUAGCUUUUGCAUUUCGAAUUUGUGGUCAAUUCAGAUCUAGGAAGUUACAGCGGAAACGAUGUCGUUUAUAUAUCAACUACUUGAUUAAGUUUGAAAAAUAAAAAUUCAUGACUUAGUGUAAACUUAACUUUGAUCUUUUUAUCGUCAAGUAAAACUGCAGUACUUAGUCGUUUACUAUGUUUUGUUCGAUACUAUGUUUGUACUUAAGUUUACAAAUGAAGAAUUUACUUGGCAGUCCGCCACUGAUGUCUAGAAGUUUACUUAAUGUUAUUCUGUUAACUACUGUUAUAGGCUAAGCUUCAAGAGUUCAUAUUGAUAUGUGUUUGUUCAAUAUUACAUGCAUAAACAUAGUAAAUUUGAAAGAUGAUAGACACUAUCUAUAAAACUAUUUUACAGACUCUUAUGUUAACACUAUAAUAUAAUGGACAGGAGAACUCUUAUGAUCUUGCACGUCUCCACUGUAAUUGAAAUUCAACAUCAUAAACUUUAGAAAAUAGCACUGAUAUCAUAAACCAAUUAUUCAUGUUAAUUAUUCAUGUUAAUUUCACAAGUAAUUUCACUAUAAUAUAAUGUUUAUUUAGCAUCUUAGUAAUGUUUAAAAUCAAUUUUAAUAUAAAUCUAAUUCUAUAACUAGUUUGAAAAUAUAGUUAGUUUUAAUAUAAAUUCAAUUCUCCUUCUUGUUCUCUUCAAUUAACUUUUUUAUUUUAUAUUUUCAGGAAUAUCUUUGCUAGGGGUUUUACUUGUGAAGAGUGAAGUUCGAUUCGUUUCCAAGAAUCUUACAGUGUGUGUUUCCAGAAGUUGCUGACUUUCUCUACAGGAUAUUGAAGGGUAAAAAGGUUACAGUUGUUGGCAAGAAGAAAAAGUAGAUAUUUAGCAUCCUUUUGACUUGGAUGUAAUUUUGUGUAAUUGUUUUCAUUGAAUUGGAUGUAAUUUUGUUGUUUUGGGUAAAAAUGUUUUGGAUGAUGCAAUUGUUUUCAUUGAAUUAGAUGUAAUUUUAUUGUUGUUUAUUAA